UUUCCGUAGGUGAACCUGCGGAAGGAUCAUUAACGAGUAAGGUUCAUUCUGGCCCGACCUCCAACCCUUUGUUUAUUUACUAUGUUGCUUUGGCGGGCCCGUUUCACGACCGCCGGAACUCCUCGGCCUUCUCGCCCGGGCCCGCCAAUAGCCUUCUACAAACUCUUGAUCUAUUGUGUUGUCUGAGUAAUAAAUUUAAUAGUUAAAACUUUCAACAACGGAUCUCUUGGUUCUG
Molecule: unclassified non-coding RNA, 235 nt
Filed under: plant metagenome
Description: partial contains small subunit ribosomal RNA, internal transcribed spacer 1, and 5.8S ribosomal RNA
Source: RNAcentral